GAUGAACGCUGGCUACAGGCUUAACACAUGCAAGUCGAGGGGAAACGACGGGGAAGCUUGCUUCCCCGGGCGUCGACCGGCGCACGGGUGAGUAACGCGUAUCCAACCUGCCUCUGACUGAGGGAUAACCCGUCGAAAGUCGGCCUAAUACCUCAUGGUAUCGUCUGCGGGCAUCCAACGACGAUUAAAGAUUUCAUCGGUCAGGGAUGGGGAUGCGUCUGAUUAGCUUGUUGGCGGGGUAACGGCCCACCAAGGCUACGAUCAGUAGGGGUUCUGAGAGGAAGGUCCCCCACAUUGGAACUGAGACACGGUCCAAACUCCUACGGGAGGCAGCAGUGAGGAAUAUUGGUCAAUGGGCGAGAGCCUGAACCAGCCAAGUAGCGUGCAGGAUGACGGCCCUAUGGGUUGUAAACUGCUUUUAUGCGGGGAUAAAGUGAGGGACGUGUCCUUCAUUGCAGGUACCGCAUGA
This 469-nucleotide ribosomal RNA is filed under the name Segatella oris. RNAcentral describes it as "bacterial SSU rRNA". It matches the Rfam family "Bacterial small subunit ribosomal RNA", at positions 28 to 485 of the family's 1533-position model. Lineage: Bacteria; Pseudomonadati; Bacteroidota; Bacteroidia; Bacteroidales; Prevotellaceae. The record is from RNAcentral.